GUUGAAUUGUAGAGAUUAGAUCGGAUAGCCUAGAUUUGAAAUAUUUAAAUAGCCCAAAAUCCUACUUAUCCAAAACAUUCAGCCUCCACCCCAUUCAAAACAUCCUGAUCUCCCUUCCUGCCCCCACCUCUCAUUUUUUUUAAUUGAUUUGCGACCCGCUACUUCUAUAAUAUUGACGUCGAUAUUUCCACCGUCGAUGGGCGAGCAUAUUUUUGGUGAGUUCACUCUCGGUUUCAUGGUUGCAGUUUGAAGCUAUCAUUCAUCUCGGAUGGCGGAUUCAUUGUAAUGAUAGCUAAAUCUGCUUUUCAUUCGUCGGUGGAGGUGAGUUCUGUUCGUUUGUGGAGAUCUAUGCGUCGAUGUAUCUGCUUUUUGGUGGAGAUCUAGCCGUCAUUAGAGAUCUAGGCGUCGGUGGAUUUUCUUUUCAGUGGAGAUCUAGUUGUCGGUGGAUCUAGGCGCUGAAUCUAAUCUUCGUUCGUCGGAGGAGGUGAGUUUCGUUGGUCGGUGAAGAGAUGAGUUUCAUUCUUCAGUAGAAAUCUAGGCAUCGGUGGAGAUCUUGGCAUUCGAAGACGGCCAUGAUCAGCGAUCUAUCUUCCUCCCUAAAUUUUGGUCCUAUGUAAUUGACUAUUAAUCGACUCUUUCAUUCUUUUUUUUUACCGUUCGUCGUCCGCAAUGAUCGGUGGCCAAACUUGUUCAAAUUUAAUAUGAUAUAUUUUGGGACUUAGAUAGGAUUAUGUUAUGAGUUAAUGUUUGAUGGUUAGGUCUAAUUGAAAUCGAUUUAAUUUAAGUAUUGUUCUGAAGUGGUUAUGUGAUAAUGAUUUUUACUCGAUUAAGUUAUUAAGAUGAAAUGUCAACUCUAAUGUUAACAGUAUCUUGAAUGAAUGAAAUAUUAAAUGAGUUAUGGUUAUGUUAAUCGGAUAUUUCGCAUUCAAAUCCACUUCUACAAAUUAAUAUUCUAAAUGAGACAAGAGAUAAUGAAUUGUAACAUGAUUAACUAUACACAAAUAUAACCUCAAUUGACAUAUUAAAAGAAUAUGAAACGAAAAAUCAUGUUACAUGAACUAUAUUUAAAGUUGAUCGACGGAUAUGACCAAUUCAAGUUUACUUAAUCUUAUUUGCUUAUAGGCUUAAGGGGGAGAGCAUCUGGCAAUGUACGACUGCUCCUUAUCAAUCCUGGACUAGGUGUCGGUUGCAGAAGAUAAGAGAUAUAGUGGUUCAGCACGUCUCUAGCGAUGAGGAUGCUACACCUUUAUGGGAUAGGAAUUACAUGGAUUGCUACUCUGUCUCUCUCGUUUGGAGCUCCAUUCAUACAUCGGGAUAUGUGGUGCCUUGGUUCUCUUUGGUUUGGCAGGCCCCUGCUAUACCUAAGUACUCUUUUGCUAAUUGGUUAGCUGUCUAGCGAAAGUUGGUCACAAAUUUAGAUAUAGCUACUUGGGGGUUGAGUCUGGACUCCUGUUAUCUUUGUAAUACAGGGACUUAUUGCAUUGAUCAUAUUAUGCAUUCUUGUGAUUGAAAGUUAUUGUUUUGGUAUAUUGACCAACUUGCCACGGUGAUGACUGGGAGGAUGAUAUUAUGUUGAAUGGUCGGAAGUUUUUUAGUGAUAAUGGCAAUGCUUGGGGGCUGACCGCUUAUUUUGGAGGUCCAUUGUUAGUCCUCUUUGGUAUGAGAGAUGUAGAAAGCGAGCUCGUGAGCAUCAUAGUUUAUCAAGAGAUAGAUGUCUUCAUAUGCAAGGAGAUAGUGUAUAGAUUACGUUAGUUUUUUGUUUUCCGUCAUUUUUCUUGUGGAACUUUGUAGAGUUUCAUUGGUGGGUUUGCAUCCUACAUUCCAGCAAUUUGAUGUAUAAAAAUAAUAUUAAUAAAAAAGAUAUUGACUCACAACGCUAUUAACUUACGAAAAUGUAACUUCAAUUUACUCUAUUAAAAGAAUCUUGAAUGAAGGAUCAUGUAAUUAUAUGAGCUUAAUUAUAU
This 1964-nucleotide long non-coding RNA is filed under the name Linum usitatissimum (flax). Its description in RNAcentral is "long non-coding RNA (LUSI_LNC005163)". The record is from RNAcentral. Lineage: Eukaryota; Viridiplantae; Streptophyta; Magnoliopsida; Malpighiales; Linaceae.